GAUGAACGCUGGCGGCGUGCCUAACACAUGCAAGUCGAACGGAAAGGCCCUGCUUUUGUGGGGUGCUCGAGUGGCGAACGGGUGAGUAACACGUGAGUAACCUGCCCUUGACUUUGGGAUAACUUCAGGAAACUCGGGCUAAUACCGGAUAGGAGCUCCUGCUGCAUGGUGGGGGUUGGAAAGUUUGGGCGGUAGGGGCUGGAUUGGCGGCUUAUCAGCUUGUUGGUUGGGUAGUGGCUUACCAAGGCUUUGACGGGUAGCCGACAUGAGAGCGUGACCGGGCACCAUGGGACUGAGGUAGGGAGCAGACUGCUACGGGAGGCAACGGUCGGAAGUAUUACAGAGUGAGGGGGCGCGUGAGACGACGGCGUCGGGUGCGGAAUGCCCGGCUUCGGGUUGUGAACAGCUGUCGCCUGUGAUGAAGCGGGAGUGACGGUAAUGGGUCAAGAAGCCCCGGCUAACUACGUG
Molecule: ribosomal RNA, 468 nt
Filed under: uncultured bacterium
Lineage: Bacteria
Description: partial 16S ribosomal RNA
Rfam family: Bacterial small subunit ribosomal RNA
Source: RNAcentral